GCAACUUCUUUGUUUCAAUCAAGGUUGGCAAGCCCCCAAUGUGUUCACUCUGUCACCUAUUAAUUCGUUGGCUUGUCUCAUUCACUGGAGGGUCAUAGUAACGACUUGCAAAUAUCUCUCUCUCGAAAAAAGGGAAGAAUUUGCAACCUUCUGUGAUGAAACUGGGACCCAAUUACACUUGGAAGUACCUAAAAAUGUCAGGACCACUGCAUUAGGAGAACCGCAAGGGUUUCAAAGAAGUUGCCACAGGGGAUCAUAACUCAUUACAAAUUACAGUUACCCCCAAUCCCCCCAAAAAGCCGAGGUUGCAGUACAAUGAAACGGAAGCCAAUUCUUCACAAUCUCAGGUAACAUCCAAUCCUUGCGACAAUUCUACCAUGCUAUCCAAUGAAGUGGAUGCUAUAGAUUGUCAUUUUCAUUUAGACCGUACGGGGAGCAGAGUACUAAAGAAAUCACACAAUCUAUCACCUGAUGAUCUCCUUACUGAGAUCUUGGAGUUUCGGCAGGUGGUGAGUCCUCUGGUUCCUGUGAGGUUACUGGGAAUGGUCGCCAAUUUUUGUGAUCCGGAUAGCUACCCAACCCUCUUUCCCUCGGAUUCUAGACUCAAGAUAUCCAUUGGUCUCCAUCCGAGGAAAGUACGAGAAUUCUCCCAGAAACUACUUGGCGAUCUGGUUGGAAUUCUAAAUAAUCCAGCAACAGUUGGACUUGGGGAAAUAGGUUUGGACUGGACAGAGCCUAGGAUCACACGGUCUACACAAAUACAGGUGUUUAAGGAUUUGCUUCGGGUUUCUGACACAAACAGGGUGCUUAUUCUCCACCUAAGGGGAGAAAUCCCUGCUGACUUUUCCGUGUUCCACACCGGACUGGAAAUCGUUAGUUCCAUUUGUCGGAAAUCCCAGCCUAUCCACCUCCAUUGUUUCAGUGGAGAUUUAUCCGUAGUCGCAUCUUGGGCGACGUCUUUUCCAAAUUGCUAUUAUGGAUUCAAUGCCAAUGUGGCCCAUUUCGGACCUCAGCAGGUAGCGGCGCUCCGGGCGAUUUCGUUAGACCGAAUUCUCUUGGAAACCGAUGCCCCUUAUUCGCCCCCUGUAAAGGGGAUCUCCAAGAGUGUAAAAUAAUCAACACUCCUGCAUUCGUAGGAGAUGUUGCCAAGUUGGUUUCCGAAGUCCGUGGGGUCGCCUUGGAUCGCUUGCUACAUGCUUCGGUAAAGAAUGCCAAGGAUUUAUACAAAUUCUAAAGAAACAAGUUUCAGUUUGACCUGAGUAGAUAUUCUUUUUUUGUAUUAUUUUUGUACAUUUGUUCACAGGUUCACUAUAAUUUUUACCCGGGAAAUCUUGUCUGACUAUUUGACCCUGAUUUGGGUAAUAAUAUUGAUACAUUCCAGAAUGAUCAGUCGGAAUUCCAGAUAAUCCUGGAAAACUGGCCUGAUUUCAUUUCCCUAGUAACUGGACGGAUAACUAAAUUGUAAAUAUGUACGUUGGUGUAUAAUAAUUUUAAAGGUUUUAUUAAAUUUGGGGACGUAUUUUAAAUAAUAUGGGUUUUUAUAUAAAUGAGUUUUAAAAUUAUAUUUUCCUUUGGUCAAUAUCAAUAAUCUUGGAUGCGCAUCCUGGUUAUCACACACACACCAAACUUGGUAAUUUGGGUUACCUUAUUAAUUCUAAAUGGUGAUGACCGGUUCCAUAAAAUGGGGAGGAGUGUCGUAGCCCUACACUUUGUCAGUUUACGGAGGUAACUACUGCCGACGAUCAUCAGCUCGAUUAUGGGAGGAACAUGUUCCAUUCCACUAUUUACUUAAAUCAAGCAUACCGGAACUGACGUACGUGGGCGCGAGAAGUUGUCAAACCCCACUCUUUCACCAGCUUUCCUUCAGUAAACAUCAAAACUUCUACUUCUACCGACUUUAGUCGACUACGAACAGGUUCGUGAUCAGUGGGCAUGUUCAGGUCAUUGAGUAUCAUGAUAUAGGAGACAACGUUCCAUAUUGUGCUGUGAGAGCCAAAGUCACUCCUUCGCAGAGAAUUACUGAAAAACCUCACCUACCAUGGGCUUAUCUGAA
Mercenaria mercenaria is the source of this 2053-nucleotide RNA transcript. RefSeq lists it as uncharacterized. The transcript is spliced from 2 exons. The record is from RefSeq and is a predicted model, not a curated record. NCBI's taxonomy places the organism in Eukaryota, Metazoa, Mollusca, Bivalvia, Venerida, Veneridae.